RNAcentral lists this small nuclear RNA (19 nucleotides) under Arabidopsis thaliana (thale cress). Its description in RNAcentral is "snRNA_16801". Lineage: Eukaryota; Viridiplantae; Streptophyta; Magnoliopsida; Brassicales; Brassicaceae. The record is from RNAcentral.
CACCGCACGUCGCGUGGUG